This is a small nuclear RNA of Zingiber officinale, 164 nucleotides long. RefSeq annotates it as U1 spliceosomal RNA. Lineage: Eukaryota; Viridiplantae; Streptophyta; Magnoliopsida; Zingiberales; Zingiberaceae. The transcript has a single exon. The record is from RefSeq and is a predicted model, not a curated record.
AUACUUCCUUGGACGAGGUUUAUGGGCAAUCAAGAAGACUUAUGACCUAGCCCAAUGACCUCCAUUGCACUUUGGAGGGGCAUUGGUCUACCAUCUCCCUAAGUUGGGAGAGUGAAUGUCAUAAUUUGUGGUUGCGAAUUUGUGGUUGCGGGGUACACGUUCGC